RNAcentral lists this ribosomal RNA (253 nucleotides) under uncultured bacterium. RNAcentral's name for it is "partial 16S ribosomal RNA". It matches the Rfam family "Bacterial small subunit ribosomal RNA", at positions 524 to 776 of the family's 1533-position model. The record is from RNAcentral.
UACGUAGGGGGCUAGCGUUGUCCGGAAUCAUUGGGCGUAAAGAGCGUGUAGGCGGUUCGGUAAGUCCGCUGUGAAAGUCCAGGGCUCAACCCUGGAAUGCCAGUGGAAACUGCCGAGCUAGAGUCCGGAAGAGGCGAGUGGAAUUCCUGGUGUAGCGGUGAAAUGCGCAGAUAUCAGGAGGAACACCAAUGGCGAAAGCAGCUCGCUGGGACGGUACUGACGCUGAGACGCGAAAGCAUGGGGAGCAAACAGG